AUUGAACGCUGGCGGCAUGCCUUACACAUGCAAGUCGAACGGUAACAGGUCUUCGGAUGCUGACGAGUGGCGAACGGGUGAGUAAUACAUCGGAACGUGCCUAGUAGUGGGGGAUAACUACUCGAAAGAGUGGCUAAUACCGCAUGAGAUCUACGGAUGAAAGCAGGGGAUCGCAAGACCUUGUGCUACUAGAGCGGCCGAUGGCAGAUUAGGUAGUUGGUGGGAUAAAAGCUUACCAAGCCGACGAUCUGUAGCUGGUCUGAGAGGACGAUCAGCCACACUGGGGCUGAGACACGGCCCAGACUCCUACGGGAGGCAGCAGUGGGGAAUGUUGGACAACGGGCGAAAGCCUGAUCCAGCAAUGCCGCGUGCAGGAUGAAGGCCUUCGGGUUGUAAACUGCUUUUGUACGGAACGAAAAGCCCCGGGUUAAUACCCUGGGGUCAUGACGGUACCGUAAGAAUAAGCACCGGCUAACUACGUGCCAGCCGCCGCGGUAA
Molecule: ribosomal RNA, 498 nt
Filed under: uncultured bacterium
Lineage: Bacteria
Description: partial 16S ribosomal RNA
Rfam family: Bacterial small subunit ribosomal RNA
Source: RNAcentral